UCUUCACCCCUAAAAAGAAAUUUCAUCCUCGAAAUUUUUCAUACCUGUCAUCAGUGUAUUGGAAGCCUGUGCAUUUUGUUGAGUAAGCGCAUAAACUCUUCCCUGAUUUUUAGAAAUCUGUCCACCACCCUUAUGUUGUCCUUCAUCAGUUCUUUGGCCAACUUGAUUUUCAGUAUUUAGCAGGCAGCUAGCAAUUUUAUGAUC
This 204-nucleotide long non-coding RNA is filed under the name Elaeis guineensis (African oil palm). RNAcentral's name for it is "long non-coding RNA (EGUI_LNC048156)". Lineage: Eukaryota; Viridiplantae; Streptophyta; Magnoliopsida; Arecales; Arecaceae. The record is from RNAcentral.